Long non-coding RNA from Carassius carassius (crucian carp), 585 nucleotides. RefSeq lists it as uncharacterized. Lineage: Eukaryota; Metazoa; Chordata; Actinopteri; Cypriniformes; Cyprinidae. The record is from RefSeq and is a predicted model, not a curated record. The transcript has 3 exons.
CAUCAACGCAAAUCGUCGGCAGUGCUGCAUAGGAUUUGUUCGAGAAUGCCUCCAAAUAAGUGCAUUUUUGGAUGUGAGGGAAAGUUUACCUUGUUCAGCUUCCCCAAGAACCCAGUGUUACAUGAACAGUGGAUGCAGUUUGUUCUUCCGCGACAGCAACAAGUGUAGCAAGUGCGUUUGUGUGUUCUGGUCAUUUGAGUGACGAAUGUUUCAUAAACAAGGCCCAAGUCGACGCUGGAUUUGCACAUCGUUUUCUAUUAAAACAUGGAGCCGUCCCUGUGAUAAAAGACCCCAUUCAUAACCAAGAUACUCCAAUGGCCUCAAUCAGUACCCCAAACAGAAUGGACGUCCCUGCAGCAUACCUGUCCAACAGGGUCAACACAAAGAUCCCUCCCUGUCAUGACCGAGAUAUGACAAAGACAAAACUCUGCUGAAUAAAGGACUUCCCUUGAUUAAUUCAUCAUUUCAUUGCUUUUAUGUUAAUUUGAUUUUGAAGUCAUCUGACAGACCAGUGAUCACUGCCUCCAUGCCACCCAUCUAAACAGGACAUUACAUUAAAAAAAGGGAAUAUGUUUUAGAACCAUA